UCCAACAAUUUGAUUACAUUAAUAUAUCAAAGGCCUCCAAUGGACUGAAUUUGACAUUCAAAUUUUCUGAAUUUUUCCUGCAAGAGCCAAGACAAAAUCUGUGAUCUGGCAUACUGGCUCUCAGCAACUUCUACCCUUCUGUUCUUCCUGCAAAGCAAACUCAAGGGUAGCAAUUCAAGUAACGCAGCUAAAUAUCGUAACCAAGCCUCUUCAGCAAGCUUGUUUGGCAGAAAGCCACAAGUAAGUUUUAAGAAGUGAACUUUUAGUACAUCAAGUCAAUGAGAAAAACAGUAACUCUUAAAUAUAUAACGUCAGGGGUUCUGUUCAUCUUCGAUUGUCAUGGGAAUGUCAAGUGGAUACAGUGGAAUGGCGGGAAAAGCAAAUGAGCUACCAAAGGUGGAAGCUAAAUAUCCAGCCCUACUAUUUAAGCAACAUCUAACUGCAUAUGUAGAGAAAAUAUAUGGAAUGAUCCGUGACAGUUUAAAGAAAGAGAUCAGUCCACUCCUAAAUCUGUGCAUUCAGGUAAAAAUUUCAGUUAUAAAUUAGUUAUAACAUGACAAAAAAAACAUAUCUUUUAUUCAUGGCUAUUUUCUUUAUAUAAUCAAGCACAGACACCAAGAUCAGCCAGAGCAAGAACGAUGAGAGGAUCAUCUAAGUAUAUUCACUCAACCAUAAUUGCAAAACAACAAGCAUCAAAUAUUCACUGGCAAAGCAUCAUUAAUAAGUUCGAUAAUUUUUUGGGCAUUAUGUCCGAGAACUAUGUAAGAUUAUGGAUGUUCACCCUACCUUUCUGGAGUUCUACUUUCAUGGUUAAGGUUACUCUGUUUGCCACUAAAUAUUGAUGAUCUUCAGGUCCCAUCUGUGAUCAAAAGAAAAAUCUUUUGUCAGGUGUUCUCAUACAUAAAUGUUCAGCUCUUUAAUAGGUAAAGCAGUAUAAAGUCCAGUCACAACAAGAAACAUCUUAUACUUAAACUAGAUGUGUUUUAGUCCUGCAAGAACUCACUACUAGAAUUAAAACUUCACGUUUGGUCUGGCAGCUUAUUGCUUCGACGUGAGUGCUGCUCAUUCAG
RNAcentral lists this long non-coding RNA (1070 nucleotides) under Carica papaya (papaya). RNAcentral's name for it is "long non-coding RNA (CPAP_LNC004192)". Lineage: Eukaryota; Viridiplantae; Streptophyta; Magnoliopsida; Brassicales; Caricaceae. The record is from RNAcentral.